AAUUAGGCCGUUAAUUAGUAUUAUGGGGGGGGGGUAUUAUUUGAAUUGUUUUACAUUUGUUAUUCUGGGAGUCAGGAUGGCUCGUUAUCACAUAACAAAAUUAUCUGACCUCAUUAACCAAAUGUAAUAUCUGUUUACGAGUAGUUUUCAUACCUCGGACGGACCUGUUUAACAAAAAUCUUUUGACCACAUCAAUCUAAACUGACAUUAUUUGCUCUUUCUUUCUGCAAAUCUAUAUAGCUGCACAGUACUUCAGUUUUAAUUUUAGGUCAAGAGGGACUGUACUAUACAAGUUACAGCAAUAUUGGAAAACAAUUUUGUUCGCAUCAAUUUAUAGUGCCAGCAUGCAGG
RNAcentral lists this long non-coding RNA (351 nucleotides) under Mytilus galloprovincialis (Mediterranean mussel). The record is from RNAcentral. Lineage: Eukaryota; Metazoa; Mollusca; Bivalvia; Mytilida; Mytilidae.